CCCAGGCACACGAUGACUAAAGCCUUUAAAGACGCUCAGCACAUUCUGAUCUGCUCAGUCUUGUUGGGCUCUCCAGCUGAACUCUUCAUGUCCGACUUCUCUGACUAAGAGGACCUGAAGACUCUCUGUGGUGAGGAGGAUCAGCCAAGAAAUAAAGCGAGAGCCGGUACUGAAGCUUCAGUUUUCACCCUGCAGUCUUCUGAGUGGUGAGGAGUUUGUACGCAAGGAGCUGGAGGUGACAUGGAGUGAAAUCAGGAGGAGACUUGAGGAGAGAGAGAAGACCCUGAAGGAGACAAACAAGGCAGAGGAGCAGAUGAAGGUG
Erpetoichthys calabaricus (reedfish) is the source of this 322-nucleotide long non-coding RNA. RefSeq lists it as uncharacterized. The record is from RefSeq and is a predicted model, not a curated record. The transcript has 3 exons. NCBI's taxonomy places the organism in Eukaryota, Metazoa, Chordata, Cladistia, Polypteriformes, Polypteridae.